Molecule: ribosomal RNA, 99 nt
Filed under: uncultured bacterium
Lineage: Bacteria
Description: partial 16S ribosomal RNA
Source: RNAcentral
CUGCUGCCUUCCGUAGGAGUUUGGGCCGUGUCUCAGUCCCAAUGUGGCCGUCCACCCUCUCAGGCCGGCUACUGAUCGUCGCUUGGUGGCCGUUACCCC